CCGUUCUCUACGGACUAACUCAGGGAAACUUGUGCUAAUACCGUAUACGCCCUUUUGGGGAAAGAUUUAUCGGAGAAUGAUGAGCCCAUGUUGGAUUAGCUAGUUGGUAGGGUAAAGGCCUACCAAGGCGACUAUCCAUAGCUGGUCUGAGAGGAUGAUCAGCCACACUGGGACUGAGACACGGCCCAGACUCCUACGGGAGGCAGCAGUGGGGAAUAUUGGACAAUGGGCGCAAGCCUGAUCCAGCCAUGCCGCGUGAGUGAUGAAGGCCCUAGGGUUGUAAAGCUCUUUCACCGGUGAAGAUAAUGACGGUAACCGGAGAAGAAGCCCCGGCUAACUUCGUGCCAGCAGCCGCGGUAAUACGAAGGGGGCUAGCGUUGUUCGGAUUUACUGGGCGUAAAGCGCACGUAGGCGGACUUUUAAGUCAGGGGUGAAAUCCCGGGGCUCAACCCCGGAACUGCCUUUGAUACUGGAAGUCUUGAGUAUGGA
RNAcentral lists this ribosomal RNA (489 nucleotides) under Pseudochrobactrum kiredjianiae. RNAcentral's name for it is "bacterial SSU rRNA". It matches the Rfam family "Bacterial small subunit ribosomal RNA", at positions 129 to 652 of the family's 1533-position model. The record is from RNAcentral. Lineage: Bacteria; Pseudomonadati; Pseudomonadota; Alphaproteobacteria; Hyphomicrobiales; Brucellaceae.